UGUGUUGCUAGAGAGGUGUUGCAAGUGUAGCUGCUAUGUCACAUGUGUGCCAGUAGGUGGCAGAGAGGAGAGAGGCUACGCCUAUGCUCAGUGUUCUAAACAUCUAAAUGAUUAGCAGCCUAACAUU
Mastomys coucha (southern multimammate mouse) is the source of this 127-nucleotide small nucleolar RNA. RefSeq annotates it as small nucleolar RNA SNORA17. The record is from RefSeq and is a predicted model, not a curated record. NCBI's taxonomy places the organism in Eukaryota, Metazoa, Chordata, Mammalia, Rodentia, Muridae. The transcript has a single exon.